CACUCAUAAUCACAGCGCUAGCUCCAUAUACAGAAGAAAAAAAAGGAUCGAGGGAUGGAGAAAUGUUCCUUCAACUACUUAGCUCUGUUCAUGAUUUCACUAUUGCUUAUAUACUCAUGUAAUUUGCAGUACUCAGAAGUGGAAGCAAGGAUUGAUGUAAAUGCCCGAUGCAAGAGUGUUGAUGAUUGUAGUCGUGGUCCAUCACAGUGCCAAUGCGUAUUCAACGUUUGUAUUUGCCUCCCUCCUGCAGCAGCAGCUCAUGAUCAGAUCAUGAAUUUCAUGAUUAAACAAAAUGAAACUGAUCCUCAGCGUACAUGAAUAAUUAGUACGCUCCGUCGAUCCCCAGAAGUACUACUAAUAAUAUUGUAGUACUGGUCUACCUUAUAAGAAAUAAAUUAAUAAAAGGAUCGUUCUUCUUAA
Molecule: long non-coding RNA, 420 nt
Organism: Juglans microcarpa x Juglans regia
Lineage: Eukaryota; Viridiplantae; Streptophyta; Magnoliopsida; Fagales; Juglandaceae
Exons: 2
Source: RefSeq, a predicted model, not a curated record